RNAcentral lists this ribosomal RNA (253 nucleotides) under uncultured bacterium. RNAcentral describes it as "partial 16S ribosomal RNA". It matches the Rfam family "Bacterial small subunit ribosomal RNA", at positions 524 to 776 of the family's 1533-position model. The record is from RNAcentral.
UACGGGGGGAGCAAGCGUUGUUCGGAUUUACUGGGCGUAAAGGGCGCGUAGGCGGCGCAACAAGUCACUUGUGAAAUCUCCGGGCUUAACCCGGAGCGGCCAAGUGAUACUGUCGUGCUAGAGUAUGGUAGGGGCAGAGGGAAUUCCUGGUGUAGCGGUGAAAUGCGUAGAGAUCAGGAAGAACAUCGGUGGCGAAGGCGCUCUGCUGGACCAUAACUGACACUCAGGGACGAAAGCUAGGGGAGCGAAUGGG